UAGUUAGACCAUAAAAAACAAUAGAAGUGAAGCCUUGUCAUUAAUAACUUCAAACCAAUUUUCUAGUUUAGACAACAAAGACCCCUAACCAUUUAUCCACCUUCUAUGAACUUAUUAGUACUAUAAGAGUAAAAGAUGUGGAUGAGGAUGCAACUUAUCUCAAGCUUUUUCCAUUUUCAUUGACAGAAAGAGCCAAAAACGCGGCAACAAUCCUCCCAACUAGAGUUUUAACAAAUGAGAAGAGGUGAGGAGAAAAUUUCUAACAAGAUAUUUUUCCUCCAUCUAAAUAUAUGAGUUAAAAUCAAUUAUAGCCACAUUUUCUCAAAGUGCAGAUG
This 335-nucleotide long non-coding RNA is filed under the name Vigna radiata. RNAcentral's name for it is "long non-coding RNA (VRAD_LNC010195)". Lineage: Eukaryota; Viridiplantae; Streptophyta; Magnoliopsida; Fabales; Fabaceae. The record is from RNAcentral.